This is a long non-coding RNA of Patella vulgata (common limpet), 738 nucleotides long. RefSeq lists it as uncharacterized. The record is from RefSeq and is a predicted model, not a curated record. The transcript has 3 exons. Lineage: Eukaryota; Metazoa; Mollusca; Gastropoda; Patellidae.
UCAACACACCAGAUCUGUCUGAGUAACACGAAUAUUUUUCAAGACAGACAAUUUUCUGCUGAAUAUAAAAUUUCAUUAAAUAACUUGAUUCACCGAUGGCGGGUGUACCUGAACCAUAAAUUGAUUGCUUCCGUUCCCACGUAGUAAUUCACCUCGAAAAGCGUAAUUCAAAACACGUGCUUUUUGUUAAAUAUACCGUUGAAUACCAUCUCGAAACCGACUGGACCUCCAUCUUUCAGCAACAGAAACAUAGCUCCCACAUCUUUCAGCAACAGAAACUUUGAUACUCCACAAACCAGCUUUAAGCGACAUAAUCUUUGGUACUCGACAUUCCAGCUUUAAACGACAGAAACUUUGAAAUUCUUUAAAACAGAAUCAGCGACAAUCCAGCUUUAAAACAGUGGAAGAUCAACAGCCUAGAUUUAAAACGAGUGAAACGUUGACACAGUAGCUUUAAAUGCCCGACACUCUUAAGACUCCAGAUUUCAAACAAAUGACAAUUUUAUAAUCAGUCCUCCAGAAAAGCAUGGGAAUUAUGUGUACAUUUAUGACGUGCACGUAAAAGAUCCCUUGACAGUUGGAAUUCGAUAUAAGAGUAGGCCGUAGCGCCGCUGCCCGGGCAAAAUUUCCCUCAUAGCACACUGUAUGGCGUAUGCCCGUCUUCAUUAGCCCAGUUUAGGAGCAGAACAGUAGCAUUUUAAACCCCAUUUCAUUUCAUUUCAUUUCUUUUAUACCUUA